AACGAACGCUGGCGGCAUGCCUAACACAUGCAAGUCGAACGAGACCUUCGGGUCUAGUGGCGCACGGGUGCGUAACGCGUGGGAACCUGCCCUUAAGUUCGGAAUAACUCCCCGAAAGGGGUGCUAAUACCGGAUAAUGUCUUCGGACCAAAGAUUUAUCGCCUUUGGAUGGGCCCGCGUUGGAUUAGCUAGUUGGUAGGGUAAAAGCCUACCAAGGCGACGAUCCAUAGCUGGUCUGAGAGGAUGAUCAGCCACACUGGGACUGAGACACGGCCCAGACUCCUACGGGAGGCAGCAGUGGGGAAUAUUGGACAAGGGGCGAAAGCCUGAUCCAGCAAUGCCGCGUGAGUGAUGAAGGCCUUAGGGUUGUAAAGCUCUUUUACCCGGGAUGAUAAUGACAGUACCGGGAGAAUAAGCUCCGGCUAACUCCGUG
RNAcentral lists this ribosomal RNA (433 nucleotides) under uncultured bacterium. RNAcentral's name for it is "partial 16S ribosomal RNA". It matches the Rfam family "Bacterial small subunit ribosomal RNA", at positions 29 to 507 of the family's 1533-position model. The record is from RNAcentral.